Molecule: long non-coding RNA, 625 nt
Organism: Pyrus x bretschneideri (Chinese white pear)
Lineage: Eukaryota; Viridiplantae; Streptophyta; Magnoliopsida; Rosales; Rosaceae
Exons: 2
Source: RefSeq, a predicted model, not a curated record
CCGACCCAAGUCACCCUUCCAUUACUCCAUCUCACUCACAUCUCUCUCUUUUCUCUGUGAUUCUGGCGAAGACAAGCAUUUGAAGAAGAAGAGGAGGAGGACCCAAAUGAUCCAAUUCUCACAUCUGAAAAUCUAUAACAAACAAAUCUGAACACCACCAUAUCCGAUCAAACACUCCAAUAUUCCAAUUAUCUCGCCCUUUCUCGGUGAUUUUCCGAUGCACACCGCCUCCUACCUCCCUCUUCGGCCUCGAGGCGAUCUCAUGGUCUCUCAUCUACCGCACCAACUCCUACAAGUCCCUCCGCUCCUCCAUCGACAAAGCCGCCAAGAAGCUCGAGACCAUGAAGACUGACUCCUCCUCUUCCGCCGCCACCACCACCACGGCGCUUAAAUGGGUUCGAAGAUAAUCAUGUUCUGGUCAAGCUGUUGAAGCACAUGAGCGCCCACUCAAAAGGGUAACUGAUAUUUGUCUUACAUUUCAUAGUUUUUUUGGGGUUUUUAUGUAUGAUUUCGUUCGGGAAAUUAAAUUGAUAGCUUGUGUAAUGAAGACUAAAAAAUAUAGAACAAUUUGUAAGAGCUCAAUGUUACCAAGACAAUAAUUUAUCAUAAGAACAAUCCUUAGCUA